Molecule: ribosomal RNA, 495 nt
Filed under: uncultured bacterium
Lineage: Bacteria
Description: partial 16S ribosomal RNA
Rfam family: Bacterial small subunit ribosomal RNA
Source: RNAcentral
GAUGAACGCUGGCGGCGUGCUUAACACAUGCAAGUCGAGCGAAGCAGUUAAGUUGAUUUCUUCGGAUUGAUUCUUAAUUGACUGAGCGGCGGACGGGUGAGUAACGCGUGGGUGACCUGCCCCAUACCGGGGGAUAACAGCUGGAAACGGCUGCUAAUAGCGCAUAAGCGCACAGAGCUGCAUGGCUCGGUGUGAAAAACUCCGGUGGUAUGGGAUGGGCCCGCGUCUGAUUAGGCAGUUGGCGGGGUAACGGCCCACCAAACCGACGAUCAGUAGCCGGCCUGAGAGGGCGACCGGCCACAUUGGGACUGAGACACGGCCCAAACUCCUACGGGAGGCAGCAGUGGGGAAUAUUGCACAAUGGGGGAAACCCCGAUGCAGCGACGCCGCGUGAGCGAAGAAGUAUUUCGGUAUGUAAAGCUCUAUCAGCAGGGAAGAUAAUGACGGUACCUGACUAAGAAGCCCCGGCUAACUACGUGCCAGCCGCCGCGGUAA